Molecule: ribosomal RNA, 639 nt
Filed under: Triticum aestivum (bread wheat)
Lineage: Eukaryota; Viridiplantae; Streptophyta; Magnoliopsida; Poales; Poaceae
Description: partial small subunit ribosomal RNA
Source: RNAcentral
AUGGACUUCGACUUCGACUGCGCCGCCGCCUCGCCCGGCGGCCAGUGGAUGGGCGAGACGGCGUCGCGGCGCCGGCAGCGCCGCCUCUCGUCCUCGUCGCUCAGGGCGUACCUCACGCCGGCCUUCGACGCCGUCGCCGCCGCCGGCCAGGGGGGCAUCUCCCCUUCCUCGUAUUCGUCGGGCGGGCUGGAGCUCGGGUUCGACGCGUCGCUCCUCCGCCUCCGCCGCACCUGUUUCUCCGCCAACGCGGAGCUGGACAGCCGCCGCCUCCUCUACUCGCCGCAGUCGCCGCCGCCGCCGCAGCAGGCGCGGCCGCGGCCGAUGUACGCGGUGGCGGACCAUGAGGCGGCCUACCUCUAUGCGCCGAAACGUCAGGCUGGCGGGCUCACUGGCGCACCAGGUUUCCCGGAACUCAAGCAGACAUUUUCCAACUUCCGAUCACCAGAUGGCGCCGUCAUCCUAGGAAACAGGCCGGACCUUCUGUCGACACCGAAACCUGGUUCGACGACACCUUCAGCACAGGCGACGUCUGCAGCAGCACAGCCAACAGAGGAGGAAGAAGACCUGAUAGCCGAGGCCCUCUACGGGCGCAGCGGCCGACGCAGGCUGCCCAUCUUCAGGGAAAUCUGCCCGGAAUGA